RNAcentral lists this ribosomal RNA (1405 nucleotides) under metagenome. Its description in RNAcentral is "bacterial LSU rRNA". It matches the Rfam family "Bacterial large subunit ribosomal RNA", at positions 1525 to 2925 of the family's 2925-position model. The record is from RNAcentral.
UGCGAUGGGUAGGCAAAUCCGCCCGUCAUAUACCGAGGCCAACGAUCGAGCCAGCUUGCUGGUGAAGUGACUGAACGAGGUUCCAGGAAAAGCCACUAAGCUUCAGCUAUACACGACCGUACCGCAAACCGACACUGGUGCGCGAGAUGAGUAUUCUAAGGCGCUUGAGAGAACUCAGGAGAAGGAACUCGGCAAAUUGACACCGUAACUUCGGAAGAAGGUGUGCCCUAUUAGUGUGAAGUGAACAACGGAGCAUGAAUGGGUUGCAAAAAAUCGGUGGCUGCGACUGUUUAUUAAAAACACAGCACUCUGCAAACACGAAAGUGGACGUAUAGGGUGUGACGCCUGCCCGGUGCUGGAAGAUUAAAUGAUGGGGUGCAAGCUCUUGAUUGAAGUCCCAGUAAACGGCGGCCGUAACGAUAACGGUCCUAAGGUAGCGAAAUUCCUUGUCGGGUAAGUUCCGACCUGCACGAAUGGCGUAACGAUGGCCACACUGUCUCCUCCUGAGACUCAGCGAAGUUGAAAUGUUUGUGAUGAUGCAAUCUCCCCGCGGAAAGACGGAAAGACCCCAUGAACCUUUACUGUAGCUUUGUAUUGGACUUUGAACAGAUCUGUGUAGGAUAGGUGGGAGGCUUUGAAGCAGGGUCGCUAGAUCUUGUGGAGCCAACGUUGAAAUACCACCCUGGUGUGUUUGAGGUUCUAACCUAGGUCCAUUAUCUGGAUCGGGGACAGUGCAUGGUAGGCAGUUUGACUGGGGCGGUCUCCUCCCAAAGCGUAACGGAGGAGUUCGAAGGUACGCUAGUUACGGUCGGACAUCGUGACGAUAGUGCAAUGGCAUAAGCGUGCUUAACUGCGAGACUGACAAGUCGAGCAGAUGCGAAAGCAGGACAUAGUGAUCCGGUGGUUCUGUAUGGAAGGGCCAUCGCUCAACGGAUAAAAGGUACUCUGGGGAUAACAGGCUGAUACCGCCCAAGAGUUCAUAUCGACGGCGGUGUUUGGCACCUCGAUGUCGGCUCAUCUCAUCCUGGGGCUGUAGCCGGUCCCAAGGGUAUGGCUGUUCGCCAUUUAAAGAGGUACGUGAGCUGGGUUUAAAACGUCGUGAGACAGUUUGGUCCCUAUCUUCCGUGGGCGCUGCAGAUUUGAGGAAGCCUGCUCCUAGUACGAGAGGACCGGAGUGGACACACCUCUGGUGUAUCGGUUGUCACGCCAGUGGCAUUGCCGAGUAGCUAAGUGUGGAAGAGAUAACCGCUGAAAGCAUCUAAGCGGGAAACUCGUUUCAAGAUGAGAUCUGCCGGGGCCUUGAGCCCCCUAAAGAGUCGUUCAAGACCAGGACGUUGAUAGGUCAGGUGUGGAAGCGCAGUAAUGCGUUAAGCUAACUGAUACUAAUUGCUCGUGCGGCUUGACC